Molecule: ribosomal RNA, 261 nt
Filed under: Triticum aestivum (bread wheat)
Lineage: Eukaryota; Viridiplantae; Streptophyta; Magnoliopsida; Poales; Poaceae
Description: partial small subunit ribosomal RNA
Source: RNAcentral
AUGCAUCAACUUGGAACCAAGUUCCACCCUCUAAUAAUCAGCAUAUAUGCCGCAUGUCAGCCUCAUGGGGAUCAAACAGAUGAGGAGAAGGAAGCAGCAAGGAAGAAGGCGUGUUGCUGUGUUAAUAUUGGGUGCAGCAAUUUCACAACUCUGGGAGGAGCAUCUGCUGGAGGGCGUCACCUGCGGCAUCACCUGCAUCGACCUCUCGCUGAUUACCAUCCCAAGGAUGCGCGACUGACUGGCGAAGCAGGGCUUCAGUGA